This 472-nucleotide ribosomal RNA is filed under the name Megasphaera geminata. RNAcentral's name for it is "bacterial SSU rRNA". It matches the Rfam family "Bacterial small subunit ribosomal RNA", at positions 28 to 467 of the family's 1533-position model. The record is from RNAcentral. Lineage: Bacteria; Bacillati; Bacillota; Negativicutes; Veillonellales; Veillonellaceae.
GACGAACGCUGGCGGCGUGCGUAACACAUGCAAGUCGAACGAGAGAGUGAGAGAAGCUUGCUUUUCUUACGAUCGAGUGGCAAACGGGUGAGUAACGCGUAAACAACCUGCCCCGCAGAUGGGGACAACAGCUGGAAACGGCUGCUAAUACCGAAUACGGUCCUCUUAGCGCAUGGUAAGAGGAAGAAAGGGUGGCCUCUGGAACAAGCUACCGCUGUGGGAGGGGUUUGCGUCUGAUUAGCUGGUUGGAGGGGUAACGGCCCACCAAGGCGACGAUCAGUAGCCGGUCUGAGAGGAUGAACGGCCACAUUGGAACUGAGACACGGUCCAGACUCCUACGGGAGGCAGCAGUGGGGAAUCUUCCGCAAUGGGCGAAAGCCUGACGGAGCAACGCCGCGUGAGUGAAGACGGCCUUCGGGUUGUAAAGCUCUGUUAUAGGGGACGAACGGCCGGGUAGCGAAGAGGUACCCGG